ACGGAUCUGUGGAAGAAGCAAAACGUGGUUCAUUUUCACCAAGACUACAAGUUUGUCUCUAUUUUUUUCUUCCAAAUGACUACGGUGUUAUUUUGAUGUGUGCCCACCAGAUAGUCCUCCAACAUCCAUCUUCUUCAAGUUCUUGGCUUCCAUGAUGUUAACGGUUAGCUUGCCAGCCGUGGGAACGUAGCGAAGAGAAAUGCAGAUGUCUCCGAGCUUCUCUUGCUGUAUCGAAAGAGAUACAAAUAAUCAGGUCUAUGGUGUUCAUGGGAAUCUUGAUCUCACCGAUGACGUCGUGUUUGCCGAAUCGGUCAAAGUCGAAAACCUGGAGCACCAACGUCUGACCACCCAACUCUGUGUAGGGUAUCUUGGAAGGACGAGAAGGUCCAAUUUUAAAAGCAUGUAGACUUUAACGUAGGGGUCCGAAGUCCCUCCCAUGUCCAUGGCUGCCAGGUCCUGAGCUUGCAGGAUGCCCACUAUCAGCUAGGAGGAACAAUGAGAGAAGCAACAACAUGAGUGGAGGUA
This is a long non-coding RNA of Syngnathus typhle (broad-nosed pipefish), 525 nucleotides long. RefSeq lists it as uncharacterized. The record is from RefSeq and is a predicted model, not a curated record. NCBI's taxonomy places the organism in Eukaryota, Metazoa, Chordata, Actinopteri, Syngnathiformes, Syngnathidae. The transcript is spliced from 3 exons.